GAGACCCACGCCCACAGUUGCCAGCGUACUCUCYGGAGUGACGGGUACACUGUGGGGACCGCCGCUGCUAAAGCGGAGGAAGGAAUGGGCAACGGUAGGUCAGUAUGCCCCGAAUAUCCCGGGCUACACGCGGGCUACAAUGGUUGGUACAAUGGGUAUCUACCCCGAAAGGGGAUGGAAAUCUCCUAAAGCCAAUCUUAGUUCGGAUCGAGGGCUGUAACUCGCCCUCGUGAAGCUGGAAUCCGUAGUAAUCGCGUUUCAACAGAACGCGGUGAAUAC
This 279-nucleotide ribosomal RNA is filed under the name uncultured methanogenic archaeon. RNAcentral describes it as "partial 16S rRNA". It matches the Rfam family "Archaeal small subunit ribosomal RNA", at positions 1047 to 1324 of the family's 1478-position model. The record is from RNAcentral. Lineage: Archaea; Methanobacteriati; Methanobacteriota.